Long non-coding RNA from Dalotia coriaria, 391 nucleotides. RefSeq lists it as uncharacterized. NCBI's taxonomy places the organism in Eukaryota, Metazoa, Arthropoda, Insecta, Coleoptera, Staphylinidae. The record is from RefSeq and is a predicted model, not a curated record. The transcript has 2 exons.
UAAAUACACCGAAUUAAAUUGAAAUCACAUCGAUACAUCGAAAUAAUCCAUCCAUCAUGAAGUGGUUCAUUCUGGCUGCAAUUUGUUUCAUUGCCUUUGUAUUACAACGAAUUGAUAAUGUCGAAUCUCAAACAGCAGCAGGUCAGCAGUGUGGUCCCAAUGCGACGUAUUUAGCAUGCGCGUGUCCUUUUACAUGCUUUAAUGUGAAUCGAGGAUGUGGAAAUCGGUGUAUUCCUGGAUGUCAAUGUGAUGAUGGGUUUGCUUAUUUUGGACCUAAUUGUAUUCCGUUGGAAAAUUGUCCUCAAAAUGGAUAUUGAAUAAAUAAAAUUUCAAAAAUGAAAAAAAUGUUUUUUAUAAGUUUUAUUAAAUAUAUUAAAAAUAAUAAUAAUAA